GCCAACGUAGCUCAGCUGGUAGAGCAGCUCACUCGUAAUGAGCAGGUCGGGGGUUCGAAUCCCCCCGUUGGCU
This 73-nucleotide transfer RNA is filed under the name Pseudomonadota bacterium. RNAcentral describes it as "tRNA-Thr". It matches the Rfam family "tRNA". Rfam says of the family: Transfer RNA (tRNA) molecules are approximately 80 nucleotides in length. Their secondary structure includes four short double-helical elements and three loops (D, anti-codon, and T loops). The record is from RNAcentral. RNAcentral also lists the same sequence under 1 other name. Lineage: Bacteria; Pseudomonadati; Pseudomonadota.